This 288-nucleotide ribosomal RNA is filed under the name Triticum aestivum (bread wheat). RNAcentral describes it as "partial small subunit ribosomal RNA". Lineage: Eukaryota; Viridiplantae; Streptophyta; Magnoliopsida; Poales; Poaceae. The record is from RNAcentral.
AUGGACGUGUUCAUCCACGAGGACUACGUGAACAAGCGCAACAUGGUGAGGAGGGAGCAGAGGAAGAAGACGCAGUUGCAGGUGCUGCAGCUGGGCAGUCCAGGCGCAUGCAGACCGCCGCCGGCGCACGGGGAGGACAGCCCGGGAGCGGGAGCGCCGAGGCAGUGCCUGACACCAACCGGCGUCUCACCCUCGUCCACCGUCGGGUCUCCCGCAUCAGGCUCGUCGGAGGGAGCCGUCUCAUCGGAUCACCGCCGUCACCUCUUCGAUUGCCUGAAGCCGUACUAG